Lupinus albus (white lupine) is the source of this 587-nucleotide non-coding RNA. Lineage: Eukaryota; Viridiplantae; Streptophyta; Magnoliopsida; Fabales; Fabaceae. The record is from the annotation of a GenBank genome assembly.
GUUUCAAGCUUCUCUGCCUCUUCUCUGUUAAUUAUUUUUCGAUGAAUGAAAGUUAAUAAAUUUUGUACUGAAACAUGGGUCCUUUAAAUUGGAGAAUAGAAGUGAUGAAUGGGAAAUAGAUGCCAAAAGCAUCCAGAAACGGUAGAUGAAGUGCAUGCUGAUAAGAGGGAGUACAUUUCAUUAAAUUUUAGACCAAUUUCAAGGAACUAAUAAGUUCAAACCCACAUGAAUUCAACACCAGAGACUCAUAAGUAAAGUUUGUAAAGUUUGAUACUAAUAAGUUCACUCUCCACCAUGAUUUCAGACUUGUUACUACUGCUUCUUGUAAAGUUUGUAAAGCAUGAGAGCAACCCAGGUAUUAUGUUGUAUAAUAAUGGUAAAAUUUUGGUUUGAUAUUUCAAAUGUGAAUGAAGAAGUCUUACAUUGUAAAAGUGAAUGAGUUAAAGAUCAUAUAAGUGGAUGAACUUAUAGACCUAAUGCCUUAAGAUUUUGGGUAUCGUGCCAAUUUAACUUAUAUGUCAAGAUGUCCAACAGAGCAGAGCGGUCAAAACCAACUCAUGGUAUAUUGUUUCUUCUUAAAAGCUUAG